RNAcentral lists this long non-coding RNA (3511 nucleotides) under Salmo salar (Atlantic salmon). Its description in RNAcentral is "lncRNA (ENSSSAG00000082295.1)". Lineage: Eukaryota; Metazoa; Chordata; Actinopteri; Salmoniformes; Salmonidae. The record is from RNAcentral.
ACUUCUUCCCGAAACCAGCGAAGCAAAAAACAAACAACUAUCAACUUCCAAUGAAACAUGAAUAUCUAAACACAGUGGUGAAACUAUAGGCCUUCAGUGUGACAGGUUAAUACAGUGGUGAACCUAUAGGCCUUCAGUGUGACAGGUUAGUACAGUGGUGAACCUAUAGGCCUUCAGUGUGACAGGUUAAUACAGUGGUGAACCUAUAGGUCUUCAGUGUGUGACAGGUUAGUACAGUGGUGAACCUAUAGGCCUUCAGUGUGACAGGUUAAUACAGUGGUGAACCUAUAGGUCUUCAGUGUGUGACAGGUUAGUAUAGUGGUGAACCUAUAGGCCUUCAGUGUGACAGGUUAGUACAGUGGUGAACCUAUAGGUAUUCAGUGUGUGACAGGUUAGUACAGUGGCGAACCUAUAGGCCUUCAGUGUGACAGGUAAGUACAGUGUUGAACCUAUAGGCCUUCAGUGUGUGACAGGUUAAUACAGUGGUGAACCUAUAGGUCUUCAGUGUGACAGGUUAGUACAGUGGUGAACCUAUAGGCCUUCAGUGUGUGACAGGUUAGUAUAGUGGUGAACCUAUAGUCCUUCAGUGUGACAGGUUAAUACAGUGGUGAACCUAUAGGCCUUCAGUGUGACAGGUUAGUACAGUGGUGAACCUAUAGGUCUAAAGUGUGUGACAGGUUAGUACAGUGCUGAACCUAUAGGCCUUCAGUGUGUGACAGGUUAGUACAGUGGUGAACCUAUAGGCCUUCAGUGUGACAGGUUAGUACAGUGGUGAACCUAUAGGCCUUCAGUGUGACAGGUUAAUACAGUGGUGAACCUAUAGGUCUUCAGUGUGACAGGUUAAUACAGUGGUGAACCUAUAGGCCUUCAGUGUGACAGGUUAAUACAGUGGUGAACCUAUAGGCCUUCAGUGUGACAGGUUAAUACAGUGGUGAACCUAUAGGUCUUCAGUGUGUGACAGGUUAGUACAGUGGUGAACCUAUAGGCCUUCAGUGUGACAGGUUAAUACAGUGGUGAACCUACAGGUCUUCAGUGUGUGACAGGUUAGUACAGUGGUGAACCUAUAGGUCUUCAGUGUGUGACAGGUUAAUACAGUGGUGAACCUAUAGGCCUUCAGUGUGACAGGUUAAUACAGUGGUGAACCUAUAGGCCUUCAGUGUGACAGGUUAAUACAGUGGUGAACCUAUAGGUCUAAAGUGUGUGACAGGUUAGUACAGUGGUGAACCUAUAGGCCUUCAGUGUGACAGGUUAGUACAGUGGUGAACCUAUAGGUCUUCAGUGUGACAGGUUAAUACAGUGGUGAACCUAUAGGUAUUCAGUGUGUGACAGGUUAGUACAGUGGUGAACCUAUAGGUCUUCAGUGUGUGACAGGUUAAUACAGUGGUGAACCUAUAGGUCUAAAGUGUGUGACAGGUUAGUACAGUGGUGAACCUAUAGGCCUUCAGUGUGACAGGUUAGUACAGUGGUGAACCUAUAGGUCUUCAGUGUGACAGGUUAAUACAGUGGUGAACCUAUAGGUAUUCAGUGUGUGACAGGUUAGUACAGUGGUGAACCUAUAGGUCUUCAGUGUGUGACAGGUUAAUACAGUGGUGAACCUAUAGGUCUUCAGUGUGACAGGUUAGUACAGUGGUGAACCUAUAGGUCUUCAGUGUGUGACAGGUUAAUACAGUGGUGAACCUAUAGGCCUUCAGUGUGACAGGUUAGUACAGUGGUGAACCUAUAGGCCUUCAGUGUGACAGGUUAGUACAGUGGUGAACUUUGGGAACUUUUUGACAAAUUAGAGCAUACCCACUUAUGCAGGCACCACUACACCACUGCAUAGAGCCGAUGGAAGGACAGCAGUCACACAGCAUGAUGUUAAAGGAUAAGCAGUCCAUAAACUCUGACAUAAUAAACCAGUAGGUUCCCAGUCAUAAGAAUACAAAAACACAACCAUGAAGCACUUCCCAAUCGAAAUGUACAAUUAUUACUUUCCAUUGCAAAAAACAUUUCAUGUUUAGCACACAAUGUACAUUAAGCAGUGACUCAAAGUUUAAAGUGGAACUGACAGCGUUUCAACUACUUUGCAGAUAUGAAACAAACAGACAAUCGUAGAAUCGUAAAAAAUAUCAAAUUCACAGUUUAUGCUACAAAACCAAUUCAUGAGAGGUUUUAAAAAAUAAGUUAUAUUUGACUCAACGUUCAAUGAUUUACUAUAAGGCAUUGUUGGCAAAAUAGAUGGUUUCAGUUCAAUGGAUGAUUCAUAUAUUUCUGGGACUACAUUUCUUGGUAGUCCCAGAAAUAUUGCUCUCAGGUUGUAAAUCACAACCUGGUACAUUGUCUGCUGCCUCCAUUCGGGAUGCACUGUUUCAGUUUCAAUGACUCAAUAUUCUGGACAAAAACGGACAAAUGUAAUUAAGGCUGGGAAUGUCAAUACAAUCAAACUAGCAAGGGCAAUCGGCACAAGUUAUUCAUAAUGUGGCUAAUAGCGUAUCUAUUAGUGUCUAUCUAUUAUUUCUGUAGCCAGCUAAAAACACGGAGCCUAAAGUUAGCUAGCUAGCUAGCUAGCUAGCUGCUAGGAGGAUGUCAUGUCAUGCCAUUGGAGGAGUGGGUGAGGGACUGACUUUUCCCCCUCAUAUAAUUUUUCAGUAGCUAUACACAACAAGAGAUGCAGGUGUCAUUUGGUUAGCUAGCAAGAACUUGAAACUAUUAUACAGUUAGCAUGUCUCUUGCUUGAUUUCUCAAAUUCACUCUGGCUAUCUACUCCGAUUUCAGAGAACUCUCGUCUGUGUGCCAGAGCACACAACACCUGCUGAAUAUGACCGGUGUCAGCAAACGUAAGCAAAACAAGUUAUAUUUAGUCAAGAACGCUCUAGAUAACACCCUAACCAGCUCUGCUAUGCAGAGUAAAAUGGGCAGGGUGAGGUGUUCUCUCAUUUGUGUCUGGAAGUAGCUAGCUAGCAAGCUAGCCAACUUUAGCCAGUUAGCUUGGGUGCUUGGUUGGGACAAGCAUGCAUUGGCAGGCAAGCUGCAGAAGGAUGAAGAGGCUACAAUUCCCCAUUGUUAUUCAGUGCAAUUUUGACGGCCAACUAAUGAUCGUUCUAAUGAUCUAAAGUUGCACUGUUGGACAAGACAGAAGUUUUUAUUCGGUUUUAUUUACUGCAGGGUCUAUUAGUUGUCCAAACGCACGGUCACUUUCCAACACCAUAUUGCUAUAGAAUUUUCACAAAUGUGUUACUAUACGUAAUUCCCAAACAUUCUAAGAAUUUAUGAAAACUUGAAAAUUACAAUAUCUAAAUGGUCGCUGUCACGCCCUGACCUGAGAGAGACGGUUUGAUUCUCUAUGUGGUUAGGUCAGGGUGUGGGGUGGGCAUUCUAUGGUGUAUAUUUCUUUGUGUAUGGUUCCUAAUCAGAGGCAGCUGUCUAUCGUUGUCUCUGAUUAAGAAUCAUACUUAGGCAGCCUUUCCCCACCUGUAGUUGUGGGAUCUUAUUUUUGUACUGCUUGUUAAGCCUGCAAGACGUUACGCUCGUG